CGCGGAGUGGAGCAGCGGCAGCUCGUUGGGCUCAUAACCCAAAGGUCACAGGUUCAAAUCCUGUCUCCGCAA
Molecule: transfer RNA, 72 nt
Filed under: Fusibacter sp. 3D3
Lineage: Bacteria; Bacillati; Bacillota; Clostridia; Eubacteriales; Fusibacteraceae
Description: Fusibacter sp. 3-D3-R-P8ASC2010 tRNA
Rfam family: tRNA
About the family: Transfer RNA (tRNA) molecules are approximately 80 nucleotides in length. Their secondary structure includes four short double-helical elements and three loops (D, anti-codon, and T loops).
Source: Rfam by way of RNAcentral